Molecule: transfer RNA, 90 nt
Filed under: Comamonas kerstersii
Lineage: Bacteria; Pseudomonadati; Pseudomonadota; Betaproteobacteria; Burkholderiales; Comamonadaceae
Also listed under: 2 other names
Description: tRNA-Leu
Rfam family: tRNA
About the family: Transfer RNA (tRNA) molecules are approximately 80 nucleotides in length. Their secondary structure includes four short double-helical elements and three loops (D, anti-codon, and T loops). Further hydrogen bonds mediate the characteristic L-shaped molecular structure. tRNAs have two regions of fundamental functional importance: the anti-codon, which is responsible for specific mRNA codon recognition, and the 3' end, to which the tRNAs corresponding amino acid is attached (by aminoacyl-tRNA synthetases). tRNAs cope with the degeneracy of the genetic code in two manners: having more than one tRNA (with a specific anti-codon) for a particular amino acid; and 'wobble' base-pairing, i.e. permitting non-standard base-pairing at the 3rd anti-codon position.
Source: RNAcentral
GCCCCGAUGGUGGAAUUGGUAGACACAUCAGACUUAAAAUCUGCCGCCUAUAAAACAGGCGUGCCGGUUCGAUUCCGGCUCGGGGCACCA